Molecule: non-coding RNA, 339 nt
Organism: Vicia faba (fava bean)
Lineage: Eukaryota; Viridiplantae; Streptophyta; Magnoliopsida; Fabales; Fabaceae
Source: the annotation of a GenBank genome assembly
AAAAACGCACAUCCACAAAAACAAAAAUCAAACAAUCACACAUCACCGAAAUUACAAAACCACCCCUACACCCCUCAAAAUAUCUUUUCAUCAGAUUCGCGUGGCACGUUGGUUAUAUUCCCAGGGCAAAAAAGUAAAAGCCCCUCUCACCAAAAGGCCAAUACCGUCACUCAACUAAACCAACAACACGUAUCAAACACAUUCAAAACCAUACCCAAACUCCCAAUCUUUCAAAACACACACACAAAGAAAACACAAACAAUCCCAAUAGCCAAUCAAGUCAAAUCACACGGAUCGAUGACGUGGCAAAAUAUAAACGAAAUCCCGCGUAAACCCUAA